GAUUCUCAGACCUAACGACUUAAUCUGGAUCUGACAGAAACCUAACUCAAAGUGGCUUAAGCAAACAGAGAGUCUUUUGGUUCAUGUAGCUGAAAAGCCCAGGAGUAGUGCUGGCUUCAGGCUUGGCUGGGUCCAGAGCCUCAACCACCACCAUCAGAUGUUUCUAACUCUUGGCUCCACUUUCUCUGGUGCUGGCUUUGUUCUCAGACGGGCUCUCCCUAGAAAGCCUCAAAGAUGGCCACUGAUGGUUCCAGGCUUAUGUCCUACUAACUUGGUAACCCCAGGAAAAUGCAGUAUUUCUCUCCUGGUAACUCUGCCAAGAAUUCUAGAUUUUCCUCUCAUUGUGGCUGCCGCAGGACCAAUCACCGUGCUUGAGCCAUGGAAGGCUCUGAUCAGCCAAGCAGCUUGGGUCCGCUCACUGGGACCACGAGCAGGGCCUGAAAGGAAGAGCGGGCUUUGUCACCACAGAGGAGGAGUGAUGCUCAACAGGCAACAGAGGUGGCCUCCACCCUGCCCUAGUGUUCUAGAACAGUCCGUUUACCAGACGUGCGACACUCUUUUUCAGAGAUCCACCAGAAGGGGCCGCGUCCCACCUGUGGCCCUGGGUGUGUGCAGGAUGGAUGGCCCUGGGGGCCUCGAUGUCGUUAAGCCCUCAGCCCAGCUACUAACGCCCACAUCACUUCACACUGAUGGUCUGACAUAUCAGUUGCCUCUGCUCUCCGUUACUCACUUCUGUUUGCCAUCUGCCACCCUUGCAACUACAUACCUUCUGUGCCUCGGUUUCCUUGGGAAGAGUUCCUAUGGCCGCCAAAGCCCAGGCCUGAGUGGAUUCUGGUGCUGGCAACGAAAAGCCCUGACUGAAGUGCAGAGGGAGGGGAGACGCUGUGGUGACGAGGUGGAGCUGGGCCAGAUCACGGAGGACUGGGAGCCAUCUGUGAUGACCGGAUGAGAUGCUGUAUGUGCAGUGUAUGCACAGUGCUGGCCACAGGAAGUGCUCAGAGAACAUGAACGACCUUUACAGUUAUGAUCUUGUUCUGUCACUUGGCUGUGACUGCCCUGCUUCAUUUGAUGGAGGCCCAAUAAAUAUUGUC
Equus caballus (horse) is the source of this 1091-nucleotide non-coding RNA. Lineage: Eukaryota; Metazoa; Chordata; Mammalia; Perissodactyla; Equidae. The record is from RefSeq and is a predicted model, not a curated record.